CGAACGCUGGCGGCGUGCUUAACACAUGCAAGUCGAACGCGAAAGGGACUUCGGGUCCUGAGUAAAGUGGCGCACGGGUGAGUAACGCGUAGAUAACCUGUCUUCAUGUCUGGAAUAAUACGCCGAAAGGGGUACUAAUACCGGAUAUUCUUGCUUUUCAUAAGUUAUGCAAGCAAAGGUGGCCUCUGCAUAUGCUACUGCAUGAAGAGGGGUCUGCGUACCAUUAGCUAGUAGGUGGGGUAAUGGCCUACCUAGGCGACGAUGGUUAGCGGGUCUGAGAGGAUGAUCCGCCACACUGGCACUGGAACACGGGCCAGACUCCUACGGGAGGCAGCAGUGAGGAAUAUUGCGCAAUGGGGGAAACCCUGACGCAGCGACGCCGCGUGAGUGAAGGAAGGCCUUCGGGUCGUAAAGCUCUGUCAAGAGGAAAGAAGUGUACAAUGGCUAAUACCUGUUGUAUUUGACGGUACCUCUAAAGGAAGCACCGGCUAACUCCGUGCCAGCAGCGGC
RNAcentral lists this ribosomal RNA (510 nucleotides) under uncultured bacterium. Its description in RNAcentral is "bacterial SSU rRNA". It matches the Rfam family "Bacterial small subunit ribosomal RNA", at positions 30 to 518 of the family's 1533-position model. The record is from RNAcentral.